GAUGAACGCUGACAGAAUGCUUAACACAUGCAAGUCGAUGGGGAAGUGGUGCUUGCACCAUGGUAACCAUGGCGGACGGGUGAGUAACGCGUAAGGAACUUACCUGCGGGACCGGGAGAACAGCAGGAAACUGCUGACAAGACCGGAUAAGGACAUUAAGCUGCAUCGCUGAGUGAUGAACGGAGACGCCUGUGGAGAGCCUUGCGUCCUAUUAGCUAGUUGGGGGGGUAACGGCCCAACAAGGCGAAGAUAGGUAGCCGGCCUGAGAGGGUGGACGGCCCAGAGGGCACUGAGAUGCAGCCCUUGCUACUACGGGAGGCAGCAGUGGGGCAUAUUGGACCAUGGGGGCGACCCUGAUCCAGCACUUCUGUGUGCACGACGACGGUUUUCGGAUUGUAAAGUGCUUUCAGCAGGGAAGAAGGAAGUGACGGUACCUGCAGAAGAAGCGACGGCUAACUACGUG
Molecule: ribosomal RNA, 463 nt
Filed under: uncultured bacterium
Lineage: Bacteria
Description: partial 16S ribosomal RNA
Rfam family: Bacterial small subunit ribosomal RNA
Source: RNAcentral